Molecule: ribosomal RNA, 795 nt
Filed under: Piromyces sp. 4 GRL-5
Lineage: Eukaryota; Fungi; Neocallimastigomycota; Neocallimastigomycetes; Neocallimastigales; Neocallimastigaceae
Description: LSU rRNA
Rfam family: Eukaryotic large subunit ribosomal RNA
Source: RNAcentral
CCUUGNCCUAUNCAAAAUGCGGAGGAAAAGGAAACUAACAAGGAUUCCCUUAGUAACGGCGAGUGAAGCGGGAAGAGCUCAAAUUUGAAAUCUUCAAGGUUUUACCUUGACGAAUUGUAGUUUAAAGAAGUGUUUUCUGUUGAAGUUUUGGUAAAAGUUCUUUGGAAUAGGACAUCAUAGAGGGUGAGAAUCCCGUAUUUGACCAUUAUUUUCAGCUGUGUGAUACACUUUCAAAGAGUCGGAUUGUUUGGGAAUGCAGUCCAAAAUGGGUGGUAAAUUUCAUCUAAAGCUAAAUAUUGGCGAGAGACCGAUAGCGAACAAGUACCGUGAGGGAAAGAUGAAAAGAACUUUGAAAAGAGAGUUAAACAGUACGUGAAAUUGUCAAAAGGGAAGCGUUUGACACCAGUGUUGUUUUCUCGAAAAUCAAUUAAAAAGAGUUGGAUUUUGUGUUGUAUUGACCUUAACAGCUUGCUUCACUCUUUUCCUGCUUUUUUUAAUGCACUUUUCGUUUAACAAGUCAACAUCAGUUUCUUUUGUUGUAAAAGGGUCAUUGGAAGGUGGCUUUCUCUUCGGAGAAAGUGUUUAUAGCCUUUGAUCUCUGCAAUCGGAGAGACUGAGGUCUGCAGCGUAGAUCCUUCGGGGUUAGAUACAUUUGUGCUAAGCUACAGCUUUUCAUAGACAACUUGUUGACUAUGUUUAGUCUUGUGACUUACCCGCUUAUGCUAUUUUACCUACGCUUAGGAUGUUGACAAAAUGGUUUUAAACGACCCGUCUUAAAACACACGAAACCAAAAA